GGGCUAUAAAAUAUAUUAUGCACAUUGGGUUGCGUGACAACAAUAUUGUUAUACUUUAAACCUAUGACCGAAGUCACGCAAUCAUAUGUUUAAUAAAUUACUCAAUCGAUACGCCACAUGCUAUAUGAAAUUCCAUUAUUUUGUUACCCAAGUCCAUUUCAAACAGUCGCAAGUCGGCGGAAACCAGCAGUAUGCAAGCGGUCGGCAUUCAGUUACCUGCAAAUUGUAUAUAAAAGCUUUUAAAAGAAUUUUAAAUAAUUUUUUUAUUUAUUAAGACGUUCAAUGUUUAUCCACUGAUAAGGAUGGAAAACUUACAACAAGGAUCCAUGUAUUUUAUGUUCAAAUUUGGAGGAAAUUACUUAUUAAAUAACGUCAGAUUUGAUUAAACCAUCUGUUUAUGGAUGAUUUGCGUCUAUAAGAAAAACGGAAUCUCAUAAAACUGUCGAAUAUUGCCUCGAUGAAGUAAAACGUAUAAUAGUGUGCGCUGUACCAUUAAUUUAUAAUUGUUAUUAUUAUAUGUAUUUAAUAUAAUAUUAGUUUUCAUAAUCAAUGGCUGUACGUUUCGUCAGAUACGAUUAAAUAGAAAUCUAUGGCGCUCUGGCGGUAAUAGCCAAUUGAACCGUCAUGGGUGUUCACUGGUCAUUUAUCUUCACUGAAUGACCAAUUAACUGACCAUCGCCGUGAAAUACAUGGUCGUAUAUAAUAUGGUCGUUAACUUGUGGAAGGGCACUCUGAGAAAUUUUCGUUCAAAUAAGGCGUCGCGCAAUAAAAAAUAGUUUGGGAACCUCCGAUGUAUUUCUGUUUAAAAAUAACCA
Molecule: long non-coding RNA, 815 nt
Organism: Acyrthosiphon pisum (pea aphid)
Lineage: Eukaryota; Metazoa; Arthropoda; Insecta; Hemiptera; Aphididae
Exons: 3
Source: RefSeq, a predicted model, not a curated record